AUGAACGCUGGCGGCGUGCCUAAUCCAUGCAAGUCGAGCGAACAGACGAGGAGCUUGCUCCUCUGACGUUAGCGGCGGCCGGGUGAGUAACACGUGGAUAACCUACCUAUAAGACUGGGAUAACUUCGGGAAACCGGAGCUAAUACCGGAUAAUAUAUUUAACCGCAUGGUUCAAUAGUGAAAGACGGUUUUGCUGUCACUUAUAGAUGGAUCCGCGCCGCAUUAGCUAGUUGGUAAGGUAACGGCUUACCAAGGCAACGAUGCGUAGCCGACCUGAGAGGGUGAUCGGCCACACUGGAACUGAGACACGGUCCAGACUCCUACGGGAGGCAGCAGUAGGGAAUCUUCCGCAAUGGGCGAAAGCCUGACGGAGCAACGCCGCGUGAGUGAUGAAGGUCUUCGGAUCGUAAAACUCUGUUAUUAGGGAAGAACAAAUGUGUAAGUAACUAUGCACGUCUUGACGGUACCUAAUCAGAAAGCCACGGCUAACUACGUG
RNAcentral lists this ribosomal RNA (496 nucleotides) under uncultured bacterium. RNAcentral's name for it is "partial 16S ribosomal RNA". It matches the Rfam family "Bacterial small subunit ribosomal RNA", at positions 29 to 507 of the family's 1533-position model. The record is from RNAcentral.